This 69-nucleotide transfer RNA is filed under the name Plestiodon anthracinus. RNAcentral describes it as "tRNA-Ile". It matches the Rfam family "tRNA". From Rfam's summary of the family: Transfer RNA (tRNA) molecules are approximately 80 nucleotides in length. Their secondary structure includes four short double-helical elements and three loops (D, anti-codon, and T loops). Further hydrogen bonds mediate the characteristic L-shaped molecular structure. tRNAs have two regions of fundamental functional importance: the anti-codon, which is responsible for specific mRNA codon recognition, and the 3' end, to which the tRNAs corresponding amino acid is attached (by aminoacyl-tRNA synthetases). tRNAs cope with the degeneracy of the genetic code in two manners: having more than one tRNA (with a specific anti-codon) for a particular amino acid; and 'wobble' base-pairing, i.e. permitting non-standard base-pairing at the 3rd anti-codon position. The record is from RNAcentral. Lineage: Eukaryota; Metazoa; Chordata; Lepidosauria; Squamata; Scincidae.
GGAAAUGUGCCCGAAGUUUAAGGAUUACUUUGAUAGAGUAAAAUACAGAGGUUAAACCCUCUCCUUUCC